Molecule: ribosomal RNA, 1372 nt
Filed under: uncultured bacterium
Lineage: Bacteria
Description: bacterial SSU rRNA
Rfam family: Bacterial small subunit ribosomal RNA
Source: RNAcentral
GAUGAACGCUGGCGGCGUGCCUAAUACAUGCAAGUCGAGCGAACGGACGAGAAGCUUGCUUCUCUGAUGUUAGCGGCGGACGGGUGAGUAACACGUGGAUAACCUACCUAUAAGACUGGGAUAACUUCGGGAAACCGGAGCUAAUACCGGAUAAUAUUUUGAACCGCAUGGUUCAAAAGUGAAAGACGGUCUUGCUGUCACUUAUAGAUGGAUCCGCGCUGCAUUAGCUAGUUGGUAAGGUAACGGCUUACCAAGGCAACGAUGCAUAGCCGACCUGAGAGGGUGAUCGGCCACACUGGAACUGAGACACGGUCCAGACUCCUACGGGAGGCAGCAGUAGGGAAUCUUCCGCAAUGGGCGAAAGCCUGACGGAGCAACGCCGCGUGAGUGAUGAAGGUCUUCGGAUCGUAAAACUCUGUUAUUAGGGAAGAACAUAUGUGUAAGUAACUGUGCACAUCUUGACGGUACCUAAUCAGAAAGCCACGGCUAACUACGUGCCAGCAGCCGCGGUAAUACGUAGGUGGCAAGCGUUAUCCGGAAUUAUUGGGCGUAAAGCGCGCGUAGGCGGUUUUUUAAGUCUGAUGUGAAAGCCCACGGCUCAACCGUGGAGGGUCAUUGGAAACUGGAAAACUUGAGUGCAGAAGAGGAAAGUGGAAUUCCAUGUGUAGCGGUGAAAUGCGCAGAGAUAUGGAGGAACACCAGUGGCGAAGGCGACUUUCUGGUCUGUAACUGACGCUGAUGUGCGAAAGCGUGGGGAUCAAACAGGAUUAGAUACCCUGGUAGUCCACGCCGUAAACGAUGAGUGCUAAGUGUUAGGGGGUUUCCGCCCCUUAGUGCUGCAGCUAACGCAUUAAGCACUCCGCCUGGGGAGUACGACCGCAAGGUUGAAACUCAAAGGAAUUGACGGGGACCCGCACAAGCGGUGGAGCAUGUGGUUUAAUUUGAAGCAACGCGAAGAACCUUACCAAAUCUUGACAUCCUUUGACAACUCUAGAGAUAGAGCUUUCCCCUUCGGGGGACAAAGUGACAGGUGGUGCAUGGUUGUCGUCAGCUCGUGUCGUGAGAUGUUGGGUUAAGUCCCGCAACGAGCGCAACCCUUAAGCUUAGUUGCCAUCAUUAAGUUGGGCACUCUAAGUUGACUGCCGGUGACAAACCGGAGGAAGGUGGGGAUGACGUCAAAUCAUCAUGCCCCUUAUGAUUUGGGCUACACACGUGCUACAAUGGACAAUACAAAGGGCAGCGAAACCGUGAGGUCAAGCAAAUCCCAUAAAGUUGUUCUCAGUUCGGAUUGUAGUCUGCAACUCGACUACAUGAAGCUGGAAUCGCUAGUAAUCGUAGAUCAGCAUGCUACGGUGAAUACGUUCCCGGGUCU